RNAcentral lists this ribosomal RNA (253 nucleotides) under uncultured bacterium. RNAcentral's name for it is "partial 16S ribosomal RNA". It matches the Rfam family "Bacterial small subunit ribosomal RNA", at positions 524 to 776 of the family's 1533-position model. The record is from RNAcentral.
UACGGAGGAUGCAAGCGUUAUCCGGAAUGAUUGGGCGUAAAGCGUCCGCAGGCGGCUGUGUAAGUCUGCUGUCAAAGAGCGAAGCUCAACUUCGUAAAGGCAGUGGAAACUACACGGCUAGAGUGCGUUCGGGGCAGAGGGAAUUCCUGGUGUAGCGGUGAAAUGCGUAGAGAUCAGGAAGAACACCGGUGGCGAAGGCGGCCUGCUGGGCAGUUGCUGACACUGAGGCGCGACAGCGUGGGGAGCAAACAGG